This 331-nucleotide ribosomal RNA is filed under the name uncultured bacterium. Its description in RNAcentral is "bacterial SSU rRNA". It matches the Rfam family "Bacterial small subunit ribosomal RNA", at positions 568 to 898 of the family's 1533-position model. The record is from RNAcentral.
CGAGUAGGCGGAUGAUUAAGUUAGAUGUGAAAGAUACGGGCUCAACCUGUGGAUGUCAUCUAAGACUGAUCAUCUAGAGAGCAGUAGAGGGGAGUGGAAUUUCCGGAGGAGCGGUGAAAUGCGUAGAUCUCGGAAGGAACACCGGUGGCGAAGGCGACUCUCUGGACUGUAACUGACGCUGAGGAGCGAAAGCGUGGGGAGCAAACAGGAUUAGAUACCCUGGUAGUCCACGCAGUAAACGAUGAAUACUAGACGUUAGUAUUGUAAAGAUAUUAGUGUCGAAGCAAACGCGAUAAGUAUUCCGCCUGGGGAGUACGGCCGCAAGGUUAAA